RNAcentral lists this ribosomal RNA (468 nucleotides) under uncultured bacterium. RNAcentral's name for it is "partial 16S ribosomal RNA". It matches the Rfam family "Bacterial small subunit ribosomal RNA", at positions 28 to 507 of the family's 1533-position model. The record is from RNAcentral.
GACGAACGCUGGCGGCGUGCUUAACACAUGCAAGUCGAACGGAAAGGCCCUGCUUUUGUGGGGUGCUCGAGUGGCGAACGGGUGAGUAACACGUGAGUAACCUGCCCUUGACUUUGGGAUAACUUCAGGAAACUGGGGCUAAUACCGGAUAGGAGCUCCUGCUGCAUGGUGGGGGUUGGAAAGUUUCGGCGGUUGGGGAUGGACUCGCGGCUUAUCAGCUUGUUGGUGGGGUAGUGGCUUACCAAGGCUUUGACGGGUAGCCGGCCUGAGAGGGUGACCGGCCACAUUGGGACUGAGAUACGGCCCAGAAUCCUACGGGAGGCAGCAGUGGGGAAUAUUGCAAAAUGGGCGGAAGCCUGAUGCAGCAACGCCGCGUGCGGGAUGACGGCCUUCGGGUUGUAAACCGCUUUCGCCUGUGACGAAGCGUGAGUGACGGUAAUGGGUAAAGAAGCACCGGCUAACUACGUG